GACGGACGCUGGCGGCGUGCUUAACACAUGCAAGUCGAACGGAAAGGCCCUGCUUUUGUGGGGUGCUCGAGUGGCGAACGGGUGAGUAACACGUGAGUAACCUGCCCUUGACUUUGGGAUAACUUCAGGAAACUGGGGCUAAUACCGGAUAGGAGCUCCUGCUGCAUGGUGGGGGUUGGAAAGUUUCGGCGGUUGGGGAUGGACUCGCGGCUUAUCAGCUUGUUGGUGGGGUAGUGGCUUACCAAGGCUUUGACGGGUAGCCGGCCUGAGAGGGUUACCGGCCACAUUGGGACUGAGAUACGGCCCAGACUCCUACGGGAGGCAGCAGUGGGGAAUAUUGCACAAUGGGCGGAAGCCUGAUGCAGCAACGCCGCGUGCGGGAUGACGGCCUUCGGGUUGUAAACCGCUUUCGCCUGUGACGAAGCGUGAGUGACGGUAAUGGGUAAAGAAGCACCGGCUAACUACGUG
This 468-nucleotide ribosomal RNA is filed under the name uncultured bacterium. RNAcentral's name for it is "partial 16S ribosomal RNA". It matches the Rfam family "Bacterial small subunit ribosomal RNA", at positions 28 to 507 of the family's 1533-position model. The record is from RNAcentral.